GGUGCGGUGGCGGAGAGGCUACGCAGCGGAUUGCAAAUCCGUGUACACCGGUUCAAAUCCGGUCCGCACCUCCA
RNAcentral lists this transfer RNA (74 nucleotides) under Alphaproteobacteria bacterium. RNAcentral describes it as "tRNA-Cys". It matches the Rfam family "tRNA". Rfam says of the family: Transfer RNA (tRNA) molecules are approximately 80 nucleotides in length. Their secondary structure includes four short double-helical elements and three loops (D, anti-codon, and T loops). RNAcentral also lists the same sequence under 3 other names. Lineage: Bacteria; Pseudomonadati; Pseudomonadota; Alphaproteobacteria. The record is from RNAcentral.